CAGUAGCCGCGGUAAUACGUAGGUGGCAAGCGUUGUCCGGAAUUAUUGGGCGUAAAGGGCUCGCAGGCGGUUUCUUAAGUCUGAUGUGAAAGCCCCCGGCUCAACCGGGGAGGGUCAUUGGAAACUGGGAGACUUGAGUGCAGAAGAGGAGAGUGGAAUCCCACGUGUAGCGGUGAAAUGCGUAGAGAUGUGGAGGAACACCAGUGGCGAAGGCGACUCUCUGGUCUGUAACUGACGCUGAGGAGCGAAAGCGUGGGGAGCGAACAGGAUUAGAUACCCCUGUAGUCCCUGUCUCUUAUAC
This 301-nucleotide ribosomal RNA is filed under the name uncultured bacterium. Its description in RNAcentral is "partial 16S ribosomal RNA". It matches the Rfam family "Bacterial small subunit ribosomal RNA", at positions 509 to 807 of the family's 1533-position model. The record is from RNAcentral.